This 42-nucleotide ribosomal RNA is filed under the name Alternaria sp. MY-2011. RNAcentral's name for it is "partial 18S small subunit ribosomal RNA". Lineage: Eukaryota; Fungi; Ascomycota; Dothideomycetes; Pleosporales; Pleosporaceae. The record is from RNAcentral.
UUAACAAGGUCUCCGUAGGUGAACCUGCGGAGGGAUCAUUAC